Talpa occidentalis (Iberian mole) is the source of this 656-nucleotide long non-coding RNA. RefSeq lists it as uncharacterized. Lineage: Eukaryota; Metazoa; Chordata; Mammalia; Eulipotyphla; Talpidae. The record is from RefSeq and is a predicted model, not a curated record. The transcript has 3 exons.
UCUGCAGGCUGCAUCAUAGCCUGCCCGCUCUUCCCGCCCCUGAGUGGCGUUUUAGUUUUUAGGUGUUGUUUGGCAUGAUUUGGAUAGGUUAUUUAUUCCCAAAUGAAUGAAUGUCGUGAUGCCCGCCAGCCCUGCUCCACUACCUGCCGUUGGACUGUAGUCUCACCUCUCGCUGGUGGAAGAUCUAUAGGAAAAAGAUCAUUUCUAAAACUUCCUCCUCAUCAACUUCGUCCAAAGUUCGCAAAAUACUGAAAUUAAUGACUUCAUUUUGCCACCAAUGUCUUCCUCAAAUCCCACUCAAUGAGGCCCUAAUGAAAUGGAAGAACUGAAAAAGUCAGAAGCAAAGAGGAAGAGCAGCAGCCUCAAGAUUCCCUUGAAAUAACAGCUAUCAAUAACUGAGCUACCUCUUGUUAUCACAUAGGAUAUCUAUCCCUAUUGACUUUGCAUUUUUAGAAAAUUCUGAGAGGGAGAUUAGGGCUCUUUUGAUGUGGAAGCAAAUAAGUUAUGACUCUAAGACUCCUGGAUGAGUAUGAUGUAUACUUUGCUUGUGGGCCUGCAAUGGAUUACUAUCUGAAAUUGGACAAUAAAUUGUUAAAAAAAGAGGUGAGUUUACAUUAAAUUGUCAGCCACAUCACUGACCAAAAAGGCUGGUUUCA